GUGGGGAAUAUUGGACAAUGGGCGAAAGCCUGAUCCAGCCAUGCCGCGUGUGUGAAGAAGGUCUUCGGAUUGUAAAGCACUUUAAGUUGGGAGGAAGGGCAGUAAGUUAAUACCUUGCUGUUUUGACGUUACCGACAGAAUAAGCACCGGCUAACUUCGUGCCAGCAGCCGCGGUAAUACGAAGGGUGCAAGCGUUAAUCGGAAUUACUGGGCGUAAUGCGCGCGUAGGUGGUUUUGUAAGUUGGAGGUGAAAUCCCCGGGCUCAACCUGGGAACUGCCUCCAAAACUGCAUGACUAGAGUACGGUAGAGGGUAGUGGAAUUUCCUGUGUAGCGGUGAAAUGCGUAGAUAUAGGAAGGAACACCAGUGGCGAAGGCGACUACCUGGACUGAUACUGACACUGAGGUGCGAAAGCGUGGGGAGCAAACAGGAUUAGAAACCCCAGUAGUCC
RNAcentral lists this ribosomal RNA (450 nucleotides) under uncultured bacterium. Its description in RNAcentral is "bacterial SSU rRNA". It matches the Rfam family "Bacterial small subunit ribosomal RNA", at positions 354 to 796 of the family's 1533-position model. The record is from RNAcentral.